GACGAACGCUGGCGGCGUGCUUAACACAUGCAAGUCGAACGGUAAGGCGCGGCUUUUGUUCUUUUCUGGUGUGUCGAAAGGGGGAGUAACACGUGUGUAACCUGCCCUUUGCUGUGGGAUAACUUCAGUGGACUCGAUCGAAAACCGCGUAUAAGCACCGGCGGCAUGUUUGGUUUUGUAGAGUUGCGGCGGUUGGGGAUGGACUUGCGGCUUUUCAUCGUGUUGGUGGGGUAGUGGCUUACUAAGGCUUUGACGGGUAGCCGGCCUGAGACGGUGACCGGCCACAUUGGGCUUGAGGUGCGGCCCAGAGUGAUACGGGAGGAAGCAGUGGGACAUAGUGCGAGAUGGGCCGCAGGAUGAUGCAGCGACGCCGCGUGGGAGAUGACGGCUUUAGGGCUGUAACCCGUUUUAGACUGUGAAGAAGACUGAGUGACGGUAAUGGGUAAAGAAGCAACGGCUAACUACGUG
RNAcentral lists this ribosomal RNA (468 nucleotides) under uncultured bacterium. RNAcentral's name for it is "partial 16S ribosomal RNA". It matches the Rfam family "Bacterial small subunit ribosomal RNA", at positions 28 to 507 of the family's 1533-position model. The record is from RNAcentral.